CUCACCUUGGCUGCACACCUGUACACUGCGGCAGCACUCGUGGAAGGGCGGGGGGAGGCACUCAGGGUUGGCACUCGGGAGUAUGGGUGGGGUGAGGGGGCGUUACCUGGCGCACACUGACCUUGGACACUUAAAUGACUCAGGUGAUGAAAUAUGAGCUUCUAUUUUCAUUUUGGUUUAUUUCAACCCUGUAUUUGUAUUGGUUUGUGUGUUUUGUGUGUAUAUGUGUGUGUCUGUCCUCUUUUUAUUCGUUUAGUUGCAUUAGUUCACCUCUUUGUUUUAUUUAUUUAUUUAUUUUAGAUUUUACUUAACUGUAGUUCAUAUUCAGAUGUUGGUCGUGCUUAAGUAAUAAUAAUAAUAAUAAUAAUAAUAAUAAUAGUAGCUAAGAUGGCAUGAAUAAUUCCUUUAGUUUGUCCUUUAUACGUUUUCUGUUCCUCCCUUUCUCGUUCUAAUUGGGGACACUUAGGUAAUAUUAACACGCCCUAUUACUUUACUAUUGCCACUCUUUGCUUGCUGCUAGUGCCCUGAGUGGGUGUAGUGAUGCUGCAUAAGUAAUGAAAUAAUGAAAAGUGACUGGAGUGUCUUAAGUGAAUGAGAGUUGUAACAUAUGGUAGGAAUUUUUGUAUCGUUUGUGGCAUUUCGGGAAUUAUUUUGUUAGAUUGUGUGUUAUGCUGUUGUGUGUGUUGUGAUUUGAGUGACUUUUGUUGUGUUUUUGUGUGUGGUCAUUAGCAGUGUAUUGUAAAACGAGGGCUUUAGUGAUGCAUUGUAGAAAUACUUAUUAGAGAGAUAAUGACGAUGAAUAGGGAUGAAAAAACUAAAAAAAGAAUAAGAAGUGAUAACAAGAUAGAAACAAUAGCAUAUACACCUCAGGAAGACAACCACAACAAACACUUAAACCUUAAAUAGAUAAAAGUCCCAGAAACACAUGCAAACUCGCGUUGCCAUGGGUACCAACACUCGCGGCGCGGCCAUCUUGGACGCAGCACCGCCGAGUGGGAUUGAUUACUACGACAGAAAAAGCAGUAACUGUAACAUAAUUCCCGAGUAGUCAGCCUGUGAAUCGCUACCACAGGGCCCAUACAACUGCCCCAGGUGUCGAGAUAGACGGCAGACAACGGGAGGAUAGAGCAGAGGAGCGGGAGGAGGCGGGGAGCGAGAGGCGGUGGUGAUUCGGGAAGUGUUCCUCCGCGGGGGUCAGUGUGCGGGCGGCGGCGCGAGUGGAGGUGCGUGAGUGUCGCUGGGGCGGUGAGAUUUACCUGUGGACAUCGUUGUGGUGGAUAAUAUCACGCUGGCUACCGAGUGGAGGGGUGUGUGGCGUCUUCCAAGCUGGUAAACGAUGGGAAAUGCAGCCACUGCCAAGAAAGGCGACCCCGCAGAGAAUGGUAAGUGUUCUGUAAUGUGCACCUGUUGUCCACCUGCUCCACUGUUCCACCUGGUUGUGUGGUCAGCCUAAGGUACAGUGUUGUUUUGUAUCUGGUUAUUGCUAUUGUUACGCACCAGAAAGAGUGGACAGGGGCGAAAAAUAUUGGUAAAAAGUCGUUUCAUUCUUUCCAUCCUCUCACCUCCUAAAAAUGGACAGGUAUAGAAUAUUAGAGAGAUGUCAAUCUGUUUCUUUUUAAAAUGUAUCUUGUUACGUAUUUGGAAGCGUGGACAGACGCGAAAAGUAGUGAUAAAAAGUCGCUUCAGUCUUUCCCUCAAAAAAAAAAAAAAAAAAUCAGGUAUAGAAUAUUAGAGAGGAAUGUCAAUCUGUUUCUUUUUUUUUCACUUUUUCUUUCAUUUUUUUUAAGUGUCUUUACUCUCCGCUUCUGCAACUUAUUUUUCUUCUGUUUCUUACGACUAUCAGAUCAGAACCAUAAUUCUUCGAAAGGUGAAUGCCACACGUUUCCUUUACUUUUGCAUCUCGCCCAUAGCCCCUUCAGUACUGGGACACAUUUUUACCUUGAGAUUUGUGUGCGAAAUGACCAUUUUAUCGACAUUAGGAAGGGUAUACGGAGGUCAGAAGAUAAAUAGCCACAGUCUUCACUAUUUUAAUAACCUCACUCAAAGUUUCUGAAGCUGUAUAAAAUCGCGUCCCAGUACUAAAGGGGUCAACACACACUCAAAGAAAGAUGUAUAGAGUAAAGUUUCAUUCCCUUGUGAACUUGUACUCUUUACUUGGUCAUGGAGGGAAAAAGAUAGCAAAAAGUUGGUGUUGUAUUGAAAUGAUGUUGGAAUGGAAGGAUUUAAAUGAAGGAUCGUUUGUGAAGAGAGGAACUGAAGAACGAGUGAAUUAUAUUGAAUGUGUGGUAAAAUUCUCGUCAGUAGUGGUUAAUAGAGCAAAGAAAAUAGUGAAAUGGUGAUGUUGACUUACUGAAACUGCUAUAAUGAAAGAUGUGGAGGAGGAUUGUGAGAAGAAAUAAGAAUAAACGAAAGAAUUGAUGAAUUUUGCAGCGUCAAUUUGUCAGUAGUGAAUAGUGAAAGGGAGAAAAUAGAGAAAUGGUGGUGAUGUAUUGAAAUCAUGCAAGAAUAUCAAAAAAAUAAAUAAAGAUGUGUGAUUUUAUUUGCGUAAAGAGGAGAAACAGAGGGAAUGGCGUGAACUAUUGAAUGUCUCGUGAACUUUCCGUCAAUAAAUGCCAGUGUGUGGGAGGAAUGAGUGAAACAGUGGCAGUGACGUGAUGAAAUGAUGGAACAAUGAACUAAA
This 2680-nucleotide long non-coding RNA is filed under the name Portunus trituberculatus (swimming crab). Its description in RNAcentral is "uncharacterized LOC123507933". Lineage: Eukaryota; Metazoa; Arthropoda; Malacostraca; Decapoda; Portunidae. The record is from RNAcentral.